CAGUCGAGCGAGACCAGUCCUUCGGGACUGGGGACAGCGGCGAACGGGUGAGUAACACGUGGGUAAUCUGCCCUCGAUUCUGGGAUAGCCCGGGGAAACCCGGAUUAAUACCGGAUAGCCUCUUUAGCUCUCGGGCUUUUGAGAAAAGGUAGCUUCGGCCUCCGAUCGAGGAUGAGCCCGCGGUGGAUUAGCUUGUUGGUGGGGUAAUGGCCUACCAAGGCGACGAUCCGUAGCUGGUCUGAGAGGACGAUCAGCCACACUGGGACUGAGACACGGCCCAGACUCCUACGGGAGGCAGCAGUGGGGAAUCUUGCGCAAUGGGCGAAAGCCUGACGCAGCGACGCCGCGUGGGGGAAGAAGGCCUUAGGGUUGUAAACCUCUUUCAGCAGGGACGAAGCCACUCGGGUUAAUAGCCCAGAGGGUGACGGUACCUGCAGAAGAAGCCCCGGCUAACUACGUGCCAGCAGCCGCGGUAAUACGUAGGGGGCAAGCGUUGUCCGGAUUUAUUGGGCGUAAAGAGCGUGUAGGCGGCCAGAUAGGUCGGUUGUGAAAACUGGAGGCUUAACCUUCAGACGUCGACCGAAACCAUUUGGCUAGAGUCCGGAAGAGGAGAAUGGAAAUUCCUGGUGUAGCGGUGAAAUGCGCAGAUAUCAUGAAGACACCCGUGGCGAAGCGGUUCCCUGGGACGGUACUGACGCUGAGACGCGAAAGCGGUGGGGAGCGACAGAUUAGAUACCCUGUAGUCCACGUCGUAACGAUGAUGCUAGUGUUGGGGGGGUGGUCCAACUCCCCCCC
This 795-nucleotide ribosomal RNA is filed under the name uncultured bacterium. Its description in RNAcentral is "bacterial SSU rRNA". It matches the Rfam family "Bacterial small subunit ribosomal RNA", at positions 59 to 844 of the family's 1533-position model. The record is from RNAcentral.